Molecule: RNA transcript, 774 nt
Organism: Mastomys coucha (southern multimammate mouse)
Lineage: Eukaryota; Metazoa; Chordata; Mammalia; Rodentia; Muridae
Gene name: mortality factor 4-like protein 2
Exons: 3
Source: RefSeq, a predicted model, not a curated record
AUACAGAGAAGUAAGAUGAGAGGAGCUGCCUCAGGAAAGGAGUCAGCUGGUUCGCAGUCAAAGAAUUUUAUUAUAAAAACAAGGAAGAACAAGCAGAAGGCUCCUGGCAACUGAGACGGUGGCAGUACCAGUGAAGUCCCCUCGGGCGAAAAGGGCACGGCCUAACCCCACUGUGGAGAGUGAGGAGGCAGUCAAGAGUAGGACGGAGGUGAAGGUGAAGAUCCCUGAAGAAUUAAAACCAUGGCUGGUGGAGGACUGGGACUUGGUUACUAGGCAGAAGCAGUUGUUCCAGCUCCCUGCUAAAAAGAAUGUAGAUGCUAUUCUUGAGGAGUAUGCCAAUUGCAAGAAGUCACAGGGAAAUGUUGAUAAUAAGGAGUAUGCAGUUAAUGAAGUUGUAGGAGGGAUAAAAGAGUAUUUCAAUGUGAUGCUGGGUACUUAGCUGCUCUACAAGUUUGAGAGGCCUCAGUACGCUGAGAAUCUGCUGGCUCACCCUGAUGCGCCAAUGUCGCAGAUCUAUGGGUCGCCACACCUACUGAGAUUAUUUGUGCGAAUUGGGGCAAUGUUGGCCUAUUCGCCUCUUGAUGAGAAAAGCCUGGCAUUGUUGCUGGGCUAUCUGCAUGAUUUCCUUAAGUAUCUGGCAAAGAAUUCUGCCUCUCUGUUUACUGCCAGUGAUUACAAAGUGGCUUCUGCUGACUAUCAUCGCAAAGCCCUGUGAAGGUCUACUGACCACUCGCUAUUGUCUGGUGUCUGGAAACACUUCUGUUUAGUCCUUUC